AAGGGGUUCUUGAUUGUAGCUUUGCCUGCUAUCUCUUACCCAUGUCUUUUGAGUACCUUACGUUUCCUCGGCGGGUCCGCCCGCCGAUUGGACAAUUUAAACCAUUUGCAGUUGCAAUCAGCGUCUGAAAAAACUUAAUAGUUACAACUUUCAACAACGGAUCUCUUGGUUCUGGCAUCGAUGAAGAACGCAGCGAAAUGCGAUAAGUAGUGUGAAUUGCAGAAUUCAGUGAAUCAUCGAAUCUUUGAACGCACAUUGCGCCCCUUGGUAUUCCAUGGGGCAUGCCUGUUCGAGCGUCAUUUGUACCUUCAAGCUCUGCUUGGUGUUGGGUGUUUGUCUCGCCUCUGCGUGUAGACUCGCCUCAAAACAAUUGGCAGCCGGCGUAUUGAUUUCGGAGCGCAGUACAUCUCGCGCUUUGCACUCAUAACGACGACGUCCAAAAGUACAUUUUUACACUCUUGACCUCGGAUCAGGUAGGGAUACCCGCUGAACUUAAGCAUAUCAAUACCCCGGAGGA
Molecule: ribosomal RNA, 517 nt
Filed under: fungal sp.
Lineage: Eukaryota; Fungi
Description: eukaryotic LSU rRNA
Rfam family: 5.8S ribosomal RNA (bases 146-299)
Source: RNAcentral